GGGUUGUGAGGUUAAGCGACUAAGCGUACACGGUGGAUGCCCUGGCAGUCAGAGGCGAUGAAGGACGUGCUAAUCUGCGAUAAGCGUCGGUAAGGUGAUAUGAACCGUUAUAACCGGCGAUUUCCGAAUGGGGAAACCCAGUGUGUUUCGUCACACUAUCAUUAACUGAAUCCAUAGGUUAAUGAGGCGAACCGGGGGAACUGAAACAUCUAAGUACCCCGAGGAAAAGAAAUCAACCGAGAUUCCCCCAGUAGCGGCGAGCGAACGGGGAGCAGCCCAGAGCCUGAAUCAGUGUGUGUGUUAGUGGAAGCGUCUGGAAAGGCGCGCGAUACAGGGUGACAGCCCCGUACACAAAAAUGCACAUAUUGUGAGCUCGAUGAGUAGGGCGGGACACGUGGUAUCCUGUCUGAAUAUGGGGGGACCAUCCUCCAAGGCUAAAUACUCCUGACUGACCGAUAGUGAACCAGUACCGUGAGGGAAAGGCGAAAAGAACCCCGGCGAGGGGAGUGAAAAAGAACCUGAAACCGUGUACGUACAAGCAGUGGGAGCACGCUUAGGCGUGUGACUGCGUACCUUUUGUAUAAUGGGUCAGCGACUUAUAUUCUGUAGCAAGGUUAACCGAAUAGGGGAGCCGAAGGGAAACCGAGUCUUAACUGGGCGUUAAGUUGCAGGGUAUAGACCCGAAACCCGGUGAUCUAGCCAUGGGCAGGUUGAAGGUUGGGUAACACUAACUGGAGGACCGAACCGACUAAUGUUGAAAAAUUAGCGGAUGACUUGUGGCUGGGGGUGAAAGGCCAAUCAAACCGGGAGAUAGCUGGUUCUCCCCGAAAGCUAUUUAGGUAGCGCCUCGUGAAUUCAUCUCCGGGGGUAGAGCACUGUUUCGGCAAGGGGGUCAUCCCGACUUACCAACCCGAUGCAAACUGCGAAUACCGGAGAAUGUUAUCACGGGAGACACACGGCGGGUGCUAACGUCCGUCGUGAAGAGGGAAACAACCCAGACCGCCAGCUAAGGUCCCAAAGUCAUGGUUAAGUGGGAAACGAUGUGGGAAGGCCCAGACAGCCAGGAUGUUGGCUUAGAAGCAGCCAUCAUUUAAAGAAAGCGUAAUAGCUCACUGGUCGAGUCGGCCUGCGCGGAAGAUGUAACGGGGCUAAACCAUGCACCGAAGCUGCGGCAGCGACGCUUAUGCGUUGUUGGGUAGGGGAGCGUUCUGUAAGCCUGCGAAGGUGUGCUGUGAGGCAUGCUGGAGGUAUCAGAAGUGCGAAUGCUGACAUAAGUAACGAUAAAGCGGGUGAAAAGCCCGCUCGCCGGAAGACCAAGGGUUCCUGUCCAACGUUAAUCGGGGCAGGGUGAGUCGACCCCUAAGGCGAGGCCGAAAGGCGUAGUCGAUGGGAAACAGGUUAAUAUUCCUGUACUUGGUGUUACUGCGAAGGGGGGACGGAGAAGGCUAUGUUGGCCGGGCGACGGUUGUCCCGGUUUAAGCGUGUAGGCUGGUUUUCCAGGCAAAUCCGGAAAAUCAAGGCUGAGGCGUGAUGACGAGGCACUACGGUGCUGAAGCAACAAAUGCCCUGCUUCCAGGAAAAGCCUCUAAGCAUCAGGUAACAUCAAAUCGUACCCCAAACCGACACAGGUGGUCAGGUAGAGAAUACCAAGGCGCUUGAGAGAACUCGGGUGAAGGAACUAGGCAAAAUGGUGCCGUAACUUCGGGAGAAGGCACGCUGAUAUGUAGGUGAAGUCCCUUGCGGAUGGAGCUGAAAUCAGUCGAAGAUACCAGCUGGCUGCAACUGUUUAUUAAAAACACAGCACUGUGCAAACACGAAAGUGGACGUAUACGGUGUGACGCCUGCCCGGUGCCGGAAGGUUAAUUGAUGGGGUCAGCGCAAGCGAAGCUCUUGAUCGAAGCCCCGGUAAACGGCGGCCGUAACUAUAACGGUCCUAAGGUAGCGAAAUUCCUUGUCGGGUAAGUUCCGACCUGCACGAAUGGCGUAAUGAUGGCCAGGCUGUCUCCACCCGAGACUCAGUGAAAUUGAACUCGCUGUGAAGAUGCAGUGUACCCGCGGCAAGACGGAAAGACCCCGUGAACCUUUACUAUAGCUUGACACUGAACAUUGAGCCUUGAUGUGUAGGAUAGGUGGGAGGCUUUGAAGUGUGGACGCCAGUCUGCAUGGAGCCGGCCUUGAAAUACCACCCUUUAAUGUUUGAUGUUCUAACGUGGACCCGUGAUCCGGGUUGCGGACAGUGUCUGGUGGGUAGUUUGACUGGGGCGGUCUCCUCCUAAAGAGUAACGGAGGAGCACGAAGGUUGGCUAAUCCUGGUCGGACAUCAGGAGGUUAGUGCAAUGGCAUAAGCCAGCUUGACUGCGAGCGUGACGGCGCGAGCAGGUGCGAAAGCAGGUCAUAGUGAUCCGGUGGUUCUGAAUGGAAGGGCCAUCGCUCAACGGAUAAAAGGUACUCCGGGGAUAACAGGCUGAUACCGCCCAAGAGUUCAUAUCGACGGCGGUGUUUGGCACCUCGAUGUCGGCUCAUCACAUCCUGGGGCUGAAGUAGGUCCCAAGGGUAUGGCUGUUCGCCAUUUAAAGUGGUACGCGAGCUGGGUUUAGAACGUCGUGAGACAGUUCGGUCCCUAUCUGCCGUGGGCGCUGGAGAACUGAGGGGGGCUGCUCCUAGUACGAGAGGACCGGAGUGGACGCAUCACUGGUGUUCGGGUUGUCAUGCCAAUGGCACUGCCCGGUAGCUAAAUGCGGAAGAGAUAAGUGCUGAAAGCAUCUAAGCACGAAACUUGCCCCGAGAUGAGUUCUCCCUGACCCUUUAAGGGUCCUGAAGGAACGUUGAAGACGACGACGUUGAUAGGCCGGGUGUGUAAGCGCAGCGAUGCGUUGAGCUAACCGGUACUAAUGAACCGUGAGGCUUAACCUUACAACGCCGAAG
RNAcentral lists this ribosomal RNA (2925 nucleotides) under Shigella sonnei. Its description in RNAcentral is "bacterial LSU rRNA". It matches the Rfam family "Bacterial large subunit ribosomal RNA". The record is from RNAcentral. Lineage: Bacteria; Pseudomonadati; Pseudomonadota; Gammaproteobacteria; Enterobacterales; Enterobacteriaceae.